CUACGGGGCGCUCCAGUGGGGAAUAUUGCACAAUGGGCGCAAGCCUGAUGCAGCCAUGCCGCGUGUAUGAAGAAGGCCUUCGGGUUGUAAAGUACUUUCAGCGGGGAGGAAGGGAGUAAAGUUAAUACCUUUGCUCAUUGACGUUACCCGCAGAAGAAGCACCGGCUAACUCCGUGCCAGCAGCCGCGGUAAUACGGAGGGUGCAAGCGUUAAUCGGAAUUACUGGGCGUAAAGCGCACGCAGGCGGUUUGUUAAGUCAGAUGUGAAAUCCCCGGGCUCAACCUGGGAACUGCAUCUGAUACUGGCAAGCUUGAGUCUCGUAGAGGGGGGUAGAAUUCCAGGUGUAGCGGUGAAAUGCGUAGAGAUCUGGAGGAAUACCGGUGGCGAAGGCGGCCCCCUGGACGAAGACUGACGCUCAGGUGCAAAAGCGUGGGGAGCAAACAGGAUUAGAUACCCGCGUAGUC
This 464-nucleotide ribosomal RNA is filed under the name uncultured bacterium. RNAcentral describes it as "partial 16S ribosomal RNA". It matches the Rfam family "Bacterial small subunit ribosomal RNA", at positions 339 to 795 of the family's 1533-position model. The record is from RNAcentral.